AUGCUUAGCUGCCUAUAAAGCUGUAACAGUUUAGCUCAACCCCUCUGAGUGGGAAAUAUGGUUAGCCUCUGUAGUGUCCAUGUGGAAGUCCUGACCUCGCUUGCAGACUUGACCUCUGGAGAUAAAAAGUUCUUCAUCUGAGAAAUGAGCUAGGUUCAUCUUCCUUGGACAUUCUAGCAUCCUUAACUUUCGGUCCAGCAAGCACAAGAGCUGAAUCAGCGAAUAGAGUGAACGAACACUCAGGAUGAGAUGGCUGCUGCUGAUGGGUCUGUCUCUCUAGGUCAUUACCUCUCUUCCAACUGCAAAUGCUGCAUGAUACUAAGCUUACAGAAUUCAGAAGCACAAGUCAUGAAAGAAUUCUGCUGAGAAGACCAUGAUGAAACCUUUCCAAUUACAGAAAUAUAUCCUGCACAACUUCAUCAAGCCAAUGAAUCAUACAAAUUUGGUCAAACCAGGAUGAAGAGCAACAGAUAUGUUUGGAAGUGACUAUGUCCAGCAUCAACAACAAAGUAUAGUAAGCCUUAAUGCCAAAUGUGCAGGUAAAUGACACUAAAGUUCAGUCCUUGUGAGAAAGUAAUCUGUGCAAGUAAUUGCACCAUUUUUGUAAAUAAUGAGAAAGUUCAAUGUUACUCUAAUGAUAAAGGAAUAAGGAAAAUGAAACAUUUCAGGUUUAUCUGACAACCACCUAGACCUACUCAGAGUACAUACUUCUUUAUGUACCCAUAUGAACAUACAAUGCUAUGGAAUGUAAAGAAGUAUGUAUUUUUGGUAGGUGAUAAACCACCAAGGGGGAAGGAACUAGACUGCGCCGGGAAAGCAAAAUUUCUUUUGGAAUAACCUUCAUGUGGCAAAUUAACCUGGCAAGAAAGAGGACAUUUUUUAGUAUUGCCACAAUAAAAUGUGAAAUAAAAUAUUCCAUUCCAAAGACACUGAAUGUAUUUAAUGUGGAGGAAGAAAGAUUUCUGUUGAGAAAAAGGUAAAGAAAAGUAUGAGUAUUUUGGUUCAUUUUCUUCCAUUUUAAAGCAUGCUUUCUCAUUUUAAAUCCUUUUUAAAAACAAGAAAGAUUCAGAGUGAGUAAGGUGACUAAAACUUGAGAGCAAAAAAAGAGAGUGUCAUCUUAGCACAAAAAGAAGAAAACACAGCUUACUUUCAAAUCUGGUAUCUACCAAUAAUAUUUUGAUUCAACUAUUACAUUUUAAUCAAGGUAUGUCACAUUAGUAAGAUUUUUUUUUUGAUUUGUCAAAUUCUGGCAUACCAAAAAAAAAAGCUUACUCAGUCAAAAUUGUUAGCAAAAAACAGCUGUUGAAAUCUGACCUAUAGAUAUUUGGGGAAAUUUUUCAUCAAAAGGCUUUUUUUUUUUUAGUAGUUGUGACAGUCAUAGCUAUAGCUUCAAUUCUAAAAGAUUAGUGACUAACAGUGACCCUGUUUUCCCUAUCUUUGCCCCCCAAAAGAAAAAGUAUCUUUGGUCUUGUUGCCUUUUAAGUUUAUUAGAUCAUUAACCAAAUCCACACUUUAAAAUUUUUUAUUGCGUGUUUAGAUGGAAUAAACUGAAACGACAUAAGCAUAGAAAAUGAUAAUCCAACGAUUUCUAGGACACUAUGCUAAUUAUAAGAUUACUACUACCAAUAGAAUCUUGAAUUAAAAAAAAGAAUGAAGGUUUUUUGGGGAGGGGUCAUUUUACUAUAUAUCUUUGAGCUUUGUUUUAUCCCAAUCAAUUAUAUUUAAGCUGAACUGGGUUAACUAAUAUAUGGAUGCCCAGCUAUUCCCUAUUUGCAAGGUAUUAUAAAUUUAUUUAUUCAUUUAUUUAUUUAUUUAUUAUAAAUGCGGAAGACCCACUAUUUGUAGAAAAUUGCAAAUAUAAGAAAUCUAAAAAGAUAUUAGCAUUAAAAUCAUCAAUUGUUAUGAAUAAGCACUAUGAGGAGGGGUUUCAAUGGGAGAAAGAAAUGCUACAUGCCUAUCAAAAUGAAUAAAAUAAGGCGGCCAUAAAAUUAAUGCUAGGACAUCCCUUAAACAAGCAAACCCAAGUGAAACUAUUUCAAUUUGGAUAGCUAGGAAGAUCUUACCUGAGGUGUGGGAUUUUGUUUGAGUUAUGCUGGCUUUUUAAUAUUAGUGUUCUUUUUGUGUGUCAGAAGACAGAAAUUUCUAAAAGUUGCCAUAGUUCAUUUUCUUUCUACUCAUUAAUGUCAAUUAGUCAUUGAUUAGAUAGACAAGAUUAGUCAAUCAAGCAAUAGAGAAAUCAUAAAUUACACCUAUAAUCUGCACAGAAAAUGAAACCGACCUUGUGGUAUUUGAGAGACUAUAAAUCUUUUAAGGGUGAUUGAGGAUAAUCACAUGUACAGAAGAAAUAUCAAAACUAACAUAUUUCAAAAAUAUUUUCAAUAAUGAUUUUUUAAAGAACUAAUUCCCUCAAACACAGACUAGUGUUCAUCUCUUAAUAACAAUUUUUAAAGAAUUUUAUGUUACCUGAUAAACACUGACCUUUAGAAGUUCCAAACAGCAACUCCAUGACUUACUACUUCAACAGUGGAUGGUGGUUUCUCCUAUGUUCUCAAAAAUCACUACUUUGUUAUGAUUAUCCCCUUAAAUUUCGUAAUAAAUAACCUUACAGAUCAA
Long non-coding RNA from Phascolarctos cinereus (koala), 2613 nucleotides. RefSeq lists it as uncharacterized. NCBI's taxonomy places the organism in Eukaryota, Metazoa, Chordata, Mammalia, Diprotodontia, Phascolarctidae. The record is from RefSeq and is a predicted model, not a curated record.